Molecule: long non-coding RNA, 122 nt
Organism: Sphaeramia orbicularis (orbiculate cardinalfish)
Lineage: Eukaryota; Metazoa; Chordata; Actinopteri; Kurtiformes; Apogonidae
Exons: 4
Source: RefSeq, a predicted model, not a curated record
AGUGUGUAGUGUCUGAAAACAACCAUGCUUCUAGCUUUUAUCAAUUUGUCACUUUCUUUGACUAUAGGUUGUUUCUUAGUGGCUCUCGUCCCAUUUGGUCACUUUCUGGUGCUUUGGUCAAA